AUACGGAGGGUGCAAGCGUUACUCGGAAUUACUGGGCGUAAAGGACGCGUAGGCGGUUUAGAAAGUCAGAUGUGAAAGCCUAUGGCUUAACCAUAGAACUGCAUCUGAAACUCCUAGACUAGAGUGAGAGAGAGGUCAGUGGAAUUAGUGGUGUAGGGGUAAAAUCCGUAGAGAUCACUAGGAAUACUCAUAGCGAAGGCGACUGACUGGAACUUUACUGACGCUGAGGCGUGAAAGCGUGGGGAGCAAACAGAAUUAGAAACCCCAGUAGUCC
Molecule: ribosomal RNA, 274 nt
Filed under: uncultured bacterium
Lineage: Bacteria
Description: partial 16S ribosomal RNA
Rfam family: Bacterial small subunit ribosomal RNA
Source: RNAcentral